UGUGUAUCAGUACAUCGGCAUAUCAAUAAGCGGAGGAAAAGAAACUAACUAGGAUUCCCUCAGUAACGGCGAGUGAAGCGGGAAGAGCUCAAAUUUGAAAUCUUCAAGGUUCUACCUUGACGAAUUGUAGUUUAAAGAAGUGUUUUCUGUUGGAGUUUUGGUAAAAGUUCUUUGGAAUAGGACAUCAUAGAGGGUGAGAAUCCCGUAUUUGACCAUUAUUUCCAACUUUGUGAUACACUUUCAAAGAGUCGGAUUGUUUGGGAAUGCAGUCCAAAAUGGGUGGUAAAUUUCAUCUAAAGCUAAAUACUGGCGAGAGACCGAUAGCGAACAAGUACCGUGAGGGAAAGAUGAAAAGAACUUUGAAAAGGAGAGUUAAACAGUACGUGAAAUUGUCAAAAGGGAAGCGUUUGACACCAGUGUUGUUUUCUCGAAAAUCAAUUAAAAAUGGUGGGAUGUUGUGUUGUAUUGACUUUAUCAGCUUUCUGCACUUUUUUCCUAUCUUUUUUAAUGCACUUUUCGUUUAACAAGUCAACAUCAAUUUCUUUUGUUGCUAAAGAGGUCAUUGGAAGGUGGCUUUUCUUUCGGAAAAAGUGUUUAUAGCCUUUGACUUCUGCAAUCGGAGAGAUUGAGGUCUGCAGCGUAGAUCCUUCGGGGUUAGAUACAUUUGUGCUAAGUUAUAGCUUUUCAUAGACAACAUGUUGACUAUGAUUAAGUCAUGUAGCUUACUCGCUUAUGCUAUUUUACCUACGCUUAGGAUGUUGAUAGUCACAGCGUGUAC
RNAcentral lists this ribosomal RNA (778 nucleotides) under uncultured Neocallimastigales. RNAcentral's name for it is "partial large subunit ribosomal RNA". It matches the Rfam family "Eukaryotic large subunit ribosomal RNA", at positions 22 to 634 of the family's 3401-position model. Lineage: Eukaryota; Fungi; Neocallimastigomycota; Neocallimastigomycetes; Neocallimastigales. The record is from RNAcentral.